CCAGACUCCUACGGGAGGCAGCAGUGGGGAAUAUUGCACAAUGGGCGCAAGCCUGAUGCAGCCAUGCCGCGUGUAUGAAGAAGGCCUUCGGGUUGUAAAGUACUUUCAGCAGUGAGGAAGGUGGUAGUGUUAAUAGCACUAUCAUUUGACGUUAGCUGCAGAAGAAGCACCGGCUAACUCCGUGCCAGCAGCCGCGGUAAUACGGAGGGUGCGAGCGUUAAUCGGAAUUACUGGGCGUAAAGCGCAUGCAGGUGGUUUGUUAAGUCAGAUGUGAAAGCCCGGGGCUCAACCUCGGAAUAGCAUUUGAAACUGGCAGACUAGAGUACUGUAGAGGGGGGUAGAAUUUCAGGUGUAGCGGUGAAAUGCGUAGAGAUCUGAAGGAAUACCGGUGGCGAAGGCGGCCCCCUGGACAGAUACUGACACUCAGAUGCGAAAGCGUGGGGAGCAAACAGGAUUAGAUACCCUGGUAGUCCACGCCGUAAACGAUGUCUACUUGGAGGUUGUGGCCUUGAGCCGUGGCUUUCGGAGCUAACGCGUUAAGUAGACCGCCUGGGGAGUACGGUCGCAAGAUUAAAACUCAAAUGAAUUGACGGGGGCCCGCACAAGCGGUGGAGCAUGUGGUUUAAUUCGAUGCAACGCGAAGAACCUUACCUACUCUUGACAUCCAUAGAACUUUCCAGAGAUGGAUUGGUGCCUUCGGGAACUAUGAGACAGGUGCUGCAUGGCUGUCGUCAGCUCGUGUUGUGAAAUGUUGGGUUAAGUCCCGCAACGAGCGCAACCCUUAUCCUUGUUUGCCAGCGAGUAAUGUCGGGAACUCCAGGGAGACUGCCGGUGAUAAACCGGAGGAAGGUGGGGACGACGUCAAGUCAUCAUGGCCCUUACGAGUAGGGCUACACACGUGCUACAAUGGCGCAUACAGAGGGCGGCCAACUUGCGAAAGUGAGCGAAUCCCAAAAAGUGCGUCGUAGUCCGGAUUGGAGUCUGCAACUCGACUCCAUGAAGUCGGAAUCGCUAGUAAUCGUAGAUCAGAAUGCUACGGUGAAUACGUUCCCGGGCCUUGUACACACCGCCCGUCACACCAUGGGAGUGGGCUGCAAAAGAAGUGGGUAGUUUAACCUUCGGGGGGACGCUCACCACUUUGUGGUUCAUGACUGGGGUGAAGUCGUAACAAGGUAGCGCUAGGGGAACCUGGCGCUGGAUCACCUCCUUAUACGAUGAU
Molecule: ribosomal RNA, 1219 nt
Filed under: Vibrio coralliilyticus OCN008
Lineage: Bacteria; Pseudomonadati; Pseudomonadota; Gammaproteobacteria; Vibrionales; Vibrionaceae
Description: bacterial SSU rRNA
Rfam family: Bacterial small subunit ribosomal RNA
Source: RNAcentral